This is a long non-coding RNA of Quercus robur (English oak), 2790 nucleotides long. RefSeq lists it as uncharacterized. The transcript is spliced from 2 exons. NCBI's taxonomy places the organism in Eukaryota, Viridiplantae, Streptophyta, Magnoliopsida, Fagales, Fagaceae. The record is from RefSeq and is a predicted model, not a curated record.
AACUUCUUUCUCUCUCUACAUUCUUCUCUAUGUCCCUCUAUCUAAAACGCCAAAGCAACCUUCUCUCAUUCUACAACCCUUCCUCCUUCUUGUCUCUUGCCUUUCUUUGAAUCUAACAACGAUGAAGAAGCAUGAUACUUGACAUAAAGCCCAAUUCAUGGAAAUGCAAAUCGAAACAUAUGGGAAGAAUAGAAAGUAGUUUUUUUUUUUGGAUCAAGAAAUGGAUGUGUGAAUAUAUAUGGAGACUAUGGCGAUAAUUAGUUGGUUGAUAAAUAUUUAAUUUGCAAAUAAUUUGGAGGCCAUGCUUAGCAAGUUGUUAUAUUUAAAGUUGUUUUAAUAUGUGGUUAAACGGUAUCCUUUAUUGUGAAGCAAACUGGCUGUGUUAGAUAGUGAUUAUUUAGAGUUUUGUUGUUACAUUUGAAUUAUGCAUCAAUUCAUAAUUUUUGUGCUACUAUUUAAACCCUUCUUUAAACUUGGAUAAAUUUCAUAGUGUUACAUAUGCACAAAUAGUUUGAUAAAAUUCUUAAGUGAUGUAUCAUUGGCCUUUUUUAAAAAUGGCAUUUUUCAUACAAUAUAACAAAAGUUGCCAACAAAUUUUUUUAUUUGGAUUAUGUUUCUCCAACUUAAAAUGAAUUACUGGCUUCUAGGGAUGGCACCUAUUCUUUGAACUUGAUUUUGGGUUUCUUUUGAUUCUAUUCUUUUAGAAGACAUAUACAUUCUCCAAUUGUAAGUUUUGGUUUGGUUGACAGAUCUUGAAUUGGCAAGCAAGAAGAAGCUACCUUUAGUAGUUUUAAGGUUGGUAAUUAAAGUCAUUCAUUAACCUAGCAGAUGUUCAGGAUUGUGUUUGGUUCUAAAGGGAAAUUCAGUUUAAUUCAAGGUCAUCAAAGCUGUUGGCCAAUAUCCUGUACUCAUGGGCCUAUCUGUUGGGAACUUAAUUGCUUGAUGAGAUGAAAUGGUAAGUGUUUUUUCUUGAAUCGUCUUUUUGGGUUGCUUUGAAUUAAUCUAUUCUAUAGGUGUUCUUUUGGUGUUGCAUAACAUAUGCUCAAUGAAAUCUCUUUUAAAUUUGAUGUGAAAUCUUUCCAUUCAAAGUUUUUCCCCCUCCUCAUGUUGUGAUAAAUCUAAGUAGCUAUACUAUAGUUAUAAAAAAUUAAUUUUGCUAUGCAAAUGAUUAAUUUGGUUAUAAUAGAAAUUUCCCAAAUAUAUUUAUUUAAAUAAAAAAUUAAUUUGAUUGUAGACAACUUAACUACUUUUAUGACUCCAUGAAUUGACUAAUAUGUCAUUUACUAUGAUAUACAACAAAUUUUGUGCAUAUUGUUUAUAGUUUUAAUUUUCUUUCUUGCUUGCUUUGCACUUCCUACGAAUGGUUUAAAUUUUUUUUUCAUUGCUUGCUUUGACUAAUUUUUCUUAUUGUUGAUUUCAUCAAAGAGCAGUAUUACCAACAAAAUAAAAAUAAAAAAUAAAAAAAAGAGAAAGGGAGAAUUGAGGCUGUGGGUCAUAACAAGUAGGCUUUUUAUUUUUUUAUUUAUAAUUUUAAAUGUACUGUUAUGAUUUUAUGAGAUUGCUAUGCCCCUUUGUAAAUUAUUAGCCAUUUGCUCUAACCUCUAAAUUUGAAAUGAUGUCCUAGGACUAUAUAAUGGUUGUUGGAGCAUCAAAGCCAACUGCAAUGGCUGAUGCUAAUAGGUUUUCCAGUAUGAAAAGGUAGAAUGUUGGUGAGUUUUAUUUAGUUUCAAUUUAUUUAUAAUGUAUAAACUAUGUUUCACAUCUCCGACUUUAUGAAGUUUGACGAGUCCAAACAAGUUCCUAUAAGUACACUUUGGUGAGAUUUUUUAUCUUCAAAGAAUUGGCAUAACAAUUAUCAUGGAAUUUAUUGUAGCAUAGGAACUAUAAAGCAACCUGCUAUACAUAGCCAUGAAUUUUUAUUGGGUAAAAUACUAUUUUGGUCCCUAAACAUUGACCAAAAAAAAUUUUUCAUCCAUAAACUUUAAAAAGUUCUUUUUUCAUCCCUAAACUUUGUAAAUAGUUUUUUUUAAUGGUUUAGAGACAAAAAUAGGGAUGAAAAGGAACUGAUUUCAAUAAUUUAGGGAUGAAAAGUAAAGUUUAAGGACAUAAAUAAAACAAUUCAAUAGUUUAGGGAUGAAAAAUGAACUUUUCAAAAGUUUAGGGACGAAGAAUGAACUCCUUAAAGUUCAGGGAUGAAAAACAAACUUUUGAUAAAGUUUAGGGACCAAAAUAAUAUUUUACCCAUUUUGAUUCUAUAUAUCUAUUAUACCAAGCAAUGAUUGAUGCUUUUGAAUGCUUCAGAUUCUAUCCAUGAUUUUUUCGGUUUUCAUGGAUAAUCUAUUGUUUCAGGUUUAGGUUAUUCACGAUACUCAGAUUCAGAGUUUGAACUUUUGGGAUUAAGUUUACUGUAUAUGAUUGCAUCAUUGUGGUGUCCUUCAUUGCUUUGAGAAGUAAAUUUUGACUUGAACAAAUAAGAUGAACUAAAGUAUGAAUGAAAUAAGAUGCAUGUAGCUGUGUUGUCAAUUGCCAUUACUCGUUAGCUAUUAAAAUCAAAAACAAAUUUACGUGUAAUUAAUCAAUUAGUCAUAUGGUUACUCUUUCUUCUUCUUUUUCAGGAACAACCUUAACAAACAACUUCUACUCGAUUUUUUAAUUUUUACUUUUGGGAAGUAAACUUCGAUGUUCCUUCCAGAGAAAAAGUUAUACAAACAUUACAAGAAAAGAUGCCCCAAAUUGAAUCCCCAAGGAAAUAAUGGUUUGAGUAAAGCACCAUCCAUUCUAUUUUUUUUA